GUACACUCCUACGGGAGGCAGCAGUGGGGAAUAUUGGACAAUGGGCGCAAGCCUGAUCCAGCCAUGCCGCGUGAGUGAUGAAGGCCCUAGGGUUGUAAAGCUCUUUCACCGGAGAAGAUAAUGACGGUAUCCGGAGAAGAAGCCCCGGCUAACUUCGUGCCAGCAGCCGCGGUAAUACGAAGGGGGCUAGCGUUGUUCGGAAUUACUGGGCGUAAAGCGCACGUAGGCGGAUCGAUCAGUCAGGGGUGAAAUCCCAGGGCUCAACCCUGGAACUGCCUUUGAUACUGUCGAUCUGGAGUAUGGAAGAGGUGAGUGGAAUUCCGAGUGUAGAGGUGAAAUUCGUAGAUAUUCGGAGGAACACCAGUGGCGAAGGCGGCUCACUGGUCCAUUACUGACGCUGAGGUGCGAAAGCGUGGGGAGCAAACAGGAUUAGAAACCCCGGUAGUCCCAU
Molecule: ribosomal RNA, 451 nt
Filed under: uncultured organism
Description: partial 16S ribosomal RNA
Rfam family: Bacterial small subunit ribosomal RNA
Source: RNAcentral